GCUGAGCAUCGCAACUUCUGUUACUGCAGUGAAAAAAAUAUCCAGCUGGAAUCUGGAAAGGAAAACAGAAAUUAUGAUGAAGUUAGAUACCUUCACGGUGUUGCUUGCAGUUCUAAGCAUAGCUGCAAAAGCUGAAGAACUGUCAACCACAGCUUCACCGAUGACAACCACAGCGACUCUAAUUACAACAACAGUGGCUGAGACAACAAUCACAGCUGCUACGACAACUACCACAAGGAAUCCAACAACCACAGCAGCUCCAACUACAACCACAGUGGCUCCAACAACCACAGAUGGACCAACAACAACCACAGCAUCUCCAACAGCAACUACCACUGCAUCAGCAACAACUACAGCUGUACCAACAACGACCACAUCUGCACCAACAACUACAGCAGCUCCAACCACAACCACUGUGUCUGCAACCACAAGCACAGUGGCUCUAACAACAACCACAGCAUCUCCAACAACUACCCCUGCACCAACAACAACUACAGCAACUCCAACUACAACCACAACUGCACCAACAACUACAGCAGCUCCAACCACAACCACAGAGGCUCCAACCACAACCACAUUGGCUCCAACCACAACCACUGAGUCUCCAACCACAACCACUGUGGCUCCAACGACAACUACAGCUGUACCAA
This is a long non-coding RNA of Poeciliopsis prolifica (blackstripe livebearer), 650 nucleotides long. RefSeq lists it as uncharacterized. The transcript is spliced from 3 exons. NCBI's taxonomy places the organism in Eukaryota, Metazoa, Chordata, Actinopteri, Cyprinodontiformes, Poeciliidae. The record is from RefSeq and is a predicted model, not a curated record.